AGACACCGCCCCCGCACGCGGGGAGGUGACCGUUGAGCCCAAACAGGCGGCGUCACCAGCCAAUCAAUAUGCUUCCAGACGUUUCAGCGACCAAUUAAUAAGAACGCCUCCGAUCCAGCCAGCGUCCCAUGCUCGGUGGCCCCAGAAAAGUCAGUGUGUAGGCCUCAGCCACUUCAGGUCCGGCGUACAUUCUCCCUGGACACCAUCCUCAGCUCCUACCUUCUGGGCCAGUGGCCACGAGAUGCUGAUGGGGCCUUCACCUGCUGCACCAAUGACAAGGCCACCCAGACGCCCCUGUCCUGGCAAGAGCUAGAAGGUGAGCGUGCCAGUUCCUGUGCACACAAGCGCUCAGCAUCCUGGGGCAGCACAGACCACCGAAAAGAGAUUUCCAAGUUGAAGCAACAACUGCAGAGGACGAAGCUGAGCCGCAGUGGGAAAGAGAAGGAGCGAGGUUCACCACUCCUAGGGGACCACGCAGUGCGGGGAGCACUGAGGGCGUCCCCUCCCAGCUUCCCCUCAGGGUCCCCUGUCUUGCGACUCAGCCCCUGCCUGCACAGGAGCCUGGAAGGGCUCAACCAAGAGCUGGAGGAGGUAUUUGUGAAGGAGCAGGGAGAAGAGGAGCUGCUGAGGAUCCUUGAUAUCCCUGAUGGGCACCGGGCCCCAGCUCCUCCCCAGAGUGGCAGCUGUGAUCAUCCCCUCCUCCUCCUGGAGCCUGGCAACCUUGCCAGCUCUCCUUCCA
RNAcentral lists this long non-coding RNA (739 nucleotides) under Homo sapiens (human). RNAcentral's name for it is "non-protein coding lnc-FAM117A-1:2". The record is from RNAcentral. Lineage: Eukaryota; Metazoa; Chordata; Mammalia; Primates; Hominidae.